CGCGUAGGCUGAGAGGAAAGUCAGAUGUGAAAUCCCGGGGCUCAACCCCGGAACAGCAUAUGAAACUCCCUUUCUAGAGGGUAGGCGGAGAAAAUGGAAUUCCACAAGUAGCGGUGAAAUGCGUAGAUAUGUGGAAGAACACCAGUGGCGAAGGCGAUUUUCUAGCUUAUACCUGACGCUGAGGCGCGAAAGCAAGGGGAUCAAACA
Molecule: ribosomal RNA, 207 nt
Filed under: uncultured bacterium
Lineage: Bacteria
Description: partial 16S ribosomal RNA
Rfam family: Bacterial small subunit ribosomal RNA
Source: RNAcentral